This 111-nucleotide ribosomal RNA is filed under the name Morganella psychrotolerans. Lineage: Bacteria; Pseudomonadati; Pseudomonadota; Gammaproteobacteria; Enterobacterales; Morganellaceae. The record is from RNAcentral.
UGGCGGCACUAGCGCGGUGGUCCCACCUGACCCCAUGCCGAACUCAGAAGUGAAACGCCGUAGCGCCGAUGGUAGUGUGGGGUCUCCCCAUGUGAGAGUAGGGAACCGCCA